CUUUCAGGUGCAACUUUCAAUACAUUUAACCCGUUACCCCGAAAAAACCCCAAAAAGCCACCUUCCUUCCAUAUUUUUUUUACUGCAGGAAUAAUAGCAGCAUGAUCAGUUUGUACCUGUAACACCACCUUUAGGCGAUCAAGAGGUGCAGUUGCAGUACGAGAUGCAGCUCCUGCAACUGCACCUGCAAUCAGAUAUUUGGUUGCAUGAACAUGCUUGCUGAUGCCUUCGGGAAUCACGGCCUGUUCACCAAUAUCUACAAGAUAUACCCUAUGCAAGUAGCGAUAUAUGUUUUCUAUAGUAGCAUCGUGAGGAUAAAGCAGAAGAAAAUCUCUCCAUUCUUCAAAGGUUAUAAUUCCAUUAUUGUCUUUAUCAACAUGCUCAACAAAAUGAGCAAGUUCAUCGUCAUUCAUUUCUAUCCCUGCAAAAAGAAACUGCCAUAGCUUAUAAGAUGAAGACAACUGAUAUACUGGAAAAUUCAUCACUGGGAAUAAAAUAAAACUCCAAUGACUUCAUAAUGUUCUUGAGUGAGGAAAUCAACAGAGAUAGCUGCCCCCACAAAAAUAAGCAAAUACCCAAGCAGAGUUCUAAUUUAAAUUUGUAUUGCAAAACUAUAAAAGAAAAGUAUGUCAGUUACAUACGCUGGGAGGAGGAAAAAAAGAAAAAAAAACCAAAAACAAAGUAAAUAAAUAAUAAGUGUUUUAAUCAGGAAAAAAUUCCACGCUAAAGGAGAAAAUUAUUUUAAUAUCAUGGCAGAAAUAAGAUAUAUAAGUCCUAAUUUCAAACGAAGAAGCACAGAGAGAUAACUGGAUACAACAAUUCCAGAAAAGGUGGAAUAUGACAUGCAAG
Molecule: long non-coding RNA, 849 nt
Filed under: Olea europaea subsp. europaea
Lineage: Eukaryota; Viridiplantae; Streptophyta; Magnoliopsida; Lamiales; Oleaceae
Source: RNAcentral